UCAUCCGAGGAGCGUUGCAGCGCCCCCAGCACAGCGGGGCGUGAGGCUCGGAACCCAUCUUCGCAACGACGCUCAUCCACU
This 81-nucleotide non-coding RNA is filed under the name Burkholderiales bacterium. RNAcentral's name for it is "SAH sequence". It matches the Rfam family "SAH (S-adenosyl-L-homocysteine) riboswitch aptamer". The record is from RNAcentral. Lineage: Bacteria; Pseudomonadati; Pseudomonadota; Betaproteobacteria; Burkholderiales.